Aplosporella prunicola CBS 121167 is the source of this 72-nucleotide non-coding RNA. The record is from the annotation of a RefSeq genome assembly. Lineage: Eukaryota; Fungi; Ascomycota; Dothideomycetes; Botryosphaeriales; Aplosporellaceae.
GAGAUCUUAGUUUAAUGGUAGAACAUGUGCCUUUUAAGCAUUAUUAUCCGGGUUCGAUUCCUGGCGAUCUUA